RNAcentral lists this ribosomal RNA (261 nucleotides) under uncultured prokaryote. Its description in RNAcentral is "partial 16S ribosomal RNA". It matches the Rfam family "Bacterial small subunit ribosomal RNA", at positions 524 to 784 of the family's 1533-position model. The record is from RNAcentral.
UACGUAGGUGGCAAGCGUUAUCCGGAAUUAUUGGGCGUAAAGAGCGCGCAGGUGGUUGAUUAAGUCUGAUGUGAAAGCCCACGGCUUAACCGUGGAGGGUCAUUGGAAACUGGUCGACUUGAGUGCAGAAGAGGGAAGUGGAAUUCCAUGUGUAGCGGUGAAAUGCGUAGAUAUUGGGAGGAACACCAGUGGCGAAGGCGCUUCUCUGGACUGUAACUGACACUGAGGCACGAAAGCGUGGGGAGCAAACAGGAUUAGAUA